Molecule: transfer RNA, 73 nt
Filed under: Bacteroidota bacterium
Lineage: Bacteria; Pseudomonadati; Bacteroidota
Description: Bacteroidetes bacterium (marine metagenome) tRNA-Trp
Rfam family: tRNA
About the family: Transfer RNA (tRNA) molecules are approximately 80 nucleotides in length.
Source: RNAcentral
ACGGGUGUAGCUCAAUUGGCAGAGCAUUGGUCUCCAAAACCAAAGGCUGGGAGUUCGACUCUCUCCACCCGUG